This 30-nucleotide non-coding RNA is filed under the name Homo sapiens (human). Lineage: Eukaryota; Metazoa; Chordata; Mammalia; Primates; Hominidae. The record is from RNAcentral.
UGGUAUGGAAAUGAAUGAUUCCUUCCUAGG